Molecule: long non-coding RNA, 213 nt
Filed under: Panax ginseng (ginseng)
Lineage: Eukaryota; Viridiplantae; Streptophyta; Magnoliopsida; Apiales; Araliaceae
Description: long non-coding RNA (PGIN_LNC017850)
Source: RNAcentral
UCAAAUUUACAGACUGACUUCUUUCCUUCAAGUUGAUAUGAUAAUUAUGAUUCCUAUUAGGGGGUAAUUGUUUAGGUUCCUGGAAGACCCCAGUAAAUUUUUCAAGUAUGGCAUCUAACUCAUGUCCUUGUGGAAAUUCAUCAUUUUCAUUCCUUACAGAGUCAUCUUGGUUGCUAGUAAUGGCAUCCUUGACCUGGUUAUCAUAGACCAUUC